GAUGAACGCUGGCGGCGUGCCUAAUACAUGCAAGUCGAGCGUAUGGAUUAAGAGCUUGCUCUUAUGAAGUUAGCGGCGGACGGGUGAGUAACACGUGGGUAACCUGCCCAUAAGACUGGGAUAACUCCGGGAAACCGGGGCUAAUACCGGAUAAUAUUUUGAACUGUAUGGUUCAAAAUUGAAAGUCGGCUUCGGCUGUCACUUAUGGAUGGACCCGCGUCGCAUUAGCUAGUUGGUGAGGUAACGGCUCACCAAGGCAACGAUGCGUAGCCGACUGGGGAGGGUGACCUGCAGCACUGUGACUGAGACACGGACCAGACGCCUACAGGAGGUAGCAGUUGGGAAUCUUCCGGAAUGGCCGAGAGUCUGACGGGGCAACGCCGCGUGAGUGUUGAAGGCUUUCGGGUCGUAAAACUCUGUUGUUAGGGAAUAACAAGUGCUAGUUGAAUAAGCUGGCACCUUGACGGUACCUAACCAGAAAGCCACGGCUAACUACGUGCCAGCCGCCGCCGUAA
This 515-nucleotide ribosomal RNA is filed under the name uncultured bacterium. Its description in RNAcentral is "partial 16S ribosomal RNA". It matches the Rfam family "Bacterial small subunit ribosomal RNA", at positions 28 to 523 of the family's 1533-position model. The record is from RNAcentral.